CCAUUACUAGCGCAAACAAAAAGGGACUAAGAGUAGAUCCCUGAUGCAAUCCUGUCAGGACAGUGAAAUGCUCUGAGUCUCCUCCCGCCGUCCUCACCUGGGUUUUCGCUCCCUCAUACAUAUCCUUAAUUACUCUGCUAUAUGCCUGCGGUACUCCACUCACCUCCAAGCAUCUCCAAAGCACCUCCCUGGGGACUUUGUCGUACGCCUUUUCUAGGUCGAUGAACACCAUGUGCAAAUCCUUCUUCCUUUCCCUAUAUUGCUCCACCAACCGCCGUACCAGGUGAAUUGCCUCCGUCGUCGAGCGGCCGGGCAUAAAUCCGAACUGAUUUUCCGAGAUAGACACUAUCCGUCUCAGCCUCACCUCGACCACUCUCUCCCAGAUCUUCAUAGAGUGACUCAGUAACUUAAUCCCCCUAUAGUUGCAGAUCCUUCUUCCUCUCCCUAUACUGCUCCACCAACCUCCGUACCAGGUGGAUUGCCUCCGUCGUCGAGCGGCCAGGCAUAAAUCCGAACUGGUUUUCCGAAAUAGACACUAUCCGUCUCAGCCUCACCUCGACCACUCUCUCCCAGAUCUUCAUAGAGUGACUCAGUAACUUAAUCCCCCUAUAGUUAUCGCAACACUGAAUGUCCCCCCUAUUCUUAUAGAGGGGGAUCAUGGUACUCCACCGCCACGCCUCGGGCAUCUUUGCCGUCCGGAAAAUUUCAUUGAACAAUGCAGUCAACCACCUUACACCAGCCUCUCCAACGAACUUCCAAAACUCCA
Molecule: long non-coding RNA, 766 nt
Filed under: Capsicum annuum
Lineage: Eukaryota; Viridiplantae; Streptophyta; Magnoliopsida; Solanales; Solanaceae
Description: long non-coding RNA (CANN_LNC005183)
Source: RNAcentral